Molecule: long non-coding RNA, 2969 nt
Organism: Capsicum annuum
Lineage: Eukaryota; Viridiplantae; Streptophyta; Magnoliopsida; Solanales; Solanaceae
Exons: 2
Source: RefSeq, a predicted model, not a curated record
GUCGAAGGUCUGCAGACAUAUAAAUUUUAUUGGGUUAAAUUCAUACAAAAUUUGGAUCUAAUUCAUGUUCAUUUGGGUUAAAUAAUUAAUUUGGGCUUUGCUAAUAAUUAAGUCGAUUUUAUUGAAUUAAUGGCCAAGGUCCAUUAUGCCUUGAAGCCCAAAUCCAUAUCACGUGUCAGGGUGACUUGGUGUCUCUGAUAAAUUCAUGACCAAAAAGAUAUCACGUGUUCAAAUGAUGUGGAAAUCUCAAUCAAAUUCACGAACCAGUCAAAAACUGUCAAGUGUCAAAUGACAUGUUUUGGCCAAUUACAAGUAACCUGGCCUACUCCCAACAACUAUAAAUAAUGAAAUUACAUAACAUUAAAAGGACAUUCUGAAAACAUUUUUACAAGCAUUGGAGCAACAUGGGCAAAUUUGUUGCGAACACGAUCGUUUGCAUCUCUUCGUCUUUCCUUUCUUCUGAGUUGAGCAGAACCUCCACCCCGAUAUGCCUGAGUAGAUCGGUUUCUGUUGGUACUCUUCCUUUAAAUCCAAGUACAUAUGAAGUGGAAAAUUGAAGUCUUGCAACCACGUCUUGUUUGUUGUUCUUGUUUCUGCGUCAGCAUUUGUCCUUCCUAUUAUUUUUUGUGUUGUACUUUGAAGCAAAAAAAAAUGGACAUGCUACAUGUUUCUGUUGACAUCUCGCCUAUCCAUUUUUUGUUUCAAAGUAUAAUCAAAGAAGAAGAGGAAACACAAAUGUUGAUGGAGAAACAACAGUAGCAAACUGGACGUGGUUGCAAAGAGAUUGAGGUAUAUUAAUGCAGAUGUUAUUCCCCUUUAAUGCUUGAUACGCAUUUAAUGCUUCCGACGGCCUCAACAUAAGGUGAGUUGUUUUCUACUAGUGAUACAAGAAUAAUCACGAAUAUGGUGCGCGUUGGUCCCGAGACUUGGUGUGUGCAAUUGAAGUGUAGAAGAGGCCCAAAACACACCAAAAUCAGCCUAUAACUUACACUUGAUGGGCAGCCCACUCUUUGAAGGCCCUUUUGGUCAUUUUAACUUAUAUCUUGUAAUAGCUAUAUAAAGAACAAUGUAGGGUUUUAUUUACUUAGUUUAUGAAUGGAGUUGUAAGUCUUACAAGACAAAGAAACACAAAUCCUCUUUCCUUGAGGCACCCAAAACCGAAAUUAGGGCUUAGACAAGUGUAGAAUCACUUGUGUUUGCAUUUGUUUGGAAACAUUGAUGCUUGGGAGGUGGAUUCCGAUCUUGUGUCUUUGUAAGAGAUAGGUUUAUUGUUGUGUGUAGUGUUAAGGGUCCAAGAGUUACCAUUCUUGGGUUCUUAACAUUAUACCUUCAUGUGGUCUAUCUAUCUAUCUUUUUUCUUUUAUAAUCUUGUAUCCGUUUUGUAUCUUGUAUUGUGAAGCCGUUUUUUUUUUGUUGUUGUUGUUCGCAUUGUUGUUUCAUCUUGUGUUGUUAACUUAGUUUGUUGUUGGCUGCAAAAGGUGUCAAAUACCUAGUUAUAUUGUCCUUGUAUUUUAUUCUUGAAUCCGAGAGUGGUCUUUAAAAGGGUCCUCGAUUCUUUGAAUUAGUGGACUGUUUUUUGGCAGUGUGUUUGGACUGUUUUGAGCCAAUUCCGUGUGUUCCUUGGUUUUCUUGUAUCUUUUGGUAUCAAAGCAUGGCUUGAUCUUGUUCCUACAAGAUCAAUCUUGGGCUUGCUUGUUAGAAAAUAAUAAAAAAAAUUGUUGAAAAGCUGAAAACUUCAGAAAAAUUGCAAUCUGUCCAUUGUUGUUAUCUUGGCCGAAAUUGUGUUCUUGGCCAAGAUUUGUUCUUGAGUCUAGGUCUAGGAGUAUUUUACUUGUAUUGUGUGUUUGUAGUGUUAUUUUUGUUCCUCACUAACACUUUGAGUCGAUCCAAACUUGAGCUUGAAUUGUUAAUAUUGUUGUUGUGAACAAAGUGUGGCCGAUUGGAUGUUGUUGUUGUUCUAGCCUUGACCGAGUUGAAGGCCUUGUGUUGUGUUGUUGUUGUAGAUCUUAAAAUAUUGUUGUUGUGUUCUUUUUGUUCAUCACAACCUUCACCUUUUGUAAAAUCGAAAACACAACACUUAGGGGACUUAGCCGAUUGUUGUUUCUAUCCUUGUGGUCUUGGCCGUGAGAUUGUUGACCUUGUUGUGGUGGACUUGUUGUUCUUGGGAGAUUGUUGUUGGUUGUUCUUAUUGUGGUUGUUGUGUUCUUUAAAUUCUUCACCAUAUUCAUCACCUUGUUACUAUUAAAGUGAACUUAGAUCUUAAAAAGGUGAAAGACAAGGUGUAGUAUUUGUUGAAUCUUGAAAGACCCCCAACCACCAAAAAGACUUCACAUCACAUCUCAACCUUUUUUCAUAAAACAAGGGUCCAUGUUUUAAGGAGAAGUACAAGUCUAGUCAAAGACUUUUAAGUCUUAAAAUUUGAAUUGAAAAAGGGGCUCCAAAGACUAGUUUGUAUUUCCCUCCAUUGAACAAUUUCCACCAAAGUCCAAAUUGUGAAAUUAAAAUUUGUCAAGAACCGAACCACUAGUGGACUGCCACGUGGACCGCCACAUCACCAUAUACACUGUUCACGCAAUAAUUUUGGCUCAAAUUUUGAUCUUUUAGUUUCAUUGUGUUGUUCCAUUAGUUUCAUUUGUUGAUUCCAUUACUAACUUACAAGCUAGUACUAGAUUGUAAUUAAGUUAGUUUUGAAACCGUCCUUCGUAUAUACAUUCCUUUGUGUGUCUUAUUCUUUUGAGUCAUUGUAAUACUUGGUCCACCGCUCAAUGCCUCACGGAGUACAGGCAAGGUUACGACACUUGUGAGACAAAAGUAAAAAAAAAAUCCGAGAGACAAAACAAUAGAGAGGGAGUAUGAGGACCAUUCUUGUACAUCUAACUUAUUUGUUGUUUUGUAGGUAACUUAUUGGGCAUAAUGGAAGCCAUAUUGGCCCUCCUUGAUGCUUUGUCCCAAGACCUUGCUAGGAAAAA